This 69-nucleotide transfer RNA is filed under the name Anolis cobanensis (Stuart's anole). RNAcentral's name for it is "tRNA-Trp". Lineage: Eukaryota; Metazoa; Chordata; Lepidosauria; Squamata; Anolidae. The record is from RNAcentral.
AAAAACUUAGGUUAAUUAAACCAAGGACCUUCAAAGCCCUAAACAAGGAUUUUACUUCCUUAGUUUUUG